This is an RNA transcript of Pygoscelis adeliae (Adelie penguin), 710 nucleotides long. It is a transcript of the gene named transmembrane protein 208, with no coding region annotated. The record is from RefSeq and is a predicted model, not a curated record. The transcript has 3 exons. Lineage: Eukaryota; Metazoa; Chordata; Aves; Sphenisciformes; Spheniscidae.
CUCGCGUUCGUCUUCAGCUCGGUGGUCUAUGGUACCAGCUACCGGUCCAUGAACUCCAUGGCAAAGCCGUCUUUCGCAGAAGACGGCAGCCUUGCCGACGGGGGAAUUGACCUGAAUAUGGAGCAGGGGAUGGCAGAGUGAGUGUCCACACCCGCACGAGUCCAGGCACCUCAAGGACGUGAUCCUGCUGACAGCCAUGGUCCAAGUGUUGAGCUGCUUCUCGCUCUACGUCUGGUACUUCUGGCUCUUGGCUCCGGGACGCGCUCUCUACCUCCUGUGGGUGAACAUCCUGGGGCCCUGGUUCACAGCUGACUCUUCGCCUGCCGGUCAGGAACCAAAUGAGAAGAAGCAACGCCGACAAGAACGCCGCCAGAUGAAGCGCUUCUAGCCCUGGCUGGGGAGAUAGAUUAACGCCUUCUCUCAUCUCCAUGCUGUUAUUUCAUCAGGGAUGCAACCGAAACCAAUCCGGAACCAUCGCAGUAGCUAUGCUGCCCUCUGUCAUUGCUGCCAUUCCGCUAGAAAGGCUGCAAGAGACUUCCCUCGGUUGGUCCUUAGCGCCAGUCGAGGCCUUGCUCCUUGGGAUGACGAGGGGGGGGGGUGUGAUGCUGGGAUGUGUGUAAAUACCUUUUUAAAGCAGCGCUGUAUCGCGUUCGAGGUUGGGGAUUGCGACACUGGAGGGAAUAGCACAUUAAAGAGCAGAGUCUAACUGA